Molecule: ribosomal RNA, 486 nt
Filed under: uncultured bacterium
Lineage: Bacteria
Description: partial 16S ribosomal RNA
Rfam family: Bacterial small subunit ribosomal RNA
Source: RNAcentral
AUUGAACGCUGGCGGCAUGCCUUACACAUGCAAGUCGAACGGCAGCACGGGUGCUUGCACCUGGUGGCGAGUGGCGAACGGGUGAGUAAUACAUCGGAACAUGUCCUGUAGUGGGGGAUAGCCCGGCGAAAGCCGGAUUAAUACCGCAUACGAUCUACGGAUGAAAGCGGGGGCCCUUCGGGCCUCGCGCUAUAGGGUUGGCCGAUGGCUGAUUAGCUAGUUGGUGGGGUAAAGGCCUACCAAGGCGACGAUCAGUAGCUGGUCUGAGAGGACGACCAGCCACACUGGGACUGAGACACGGCCCAGACUCCUACGGGAGGCAGCAGUGGGGAAUUUUGGACAAUGGGCGAAAGCCUGAUCCAGCAAUGCCGCGUGUGUGAAGAAGGCCUUCGGAUUGUAAAGCACUUUUGUCCGGAAAGAAAUCCUUGGCCCUAAUACGGUCGGGGGAUGACGGUACCGGAAGAAUAAGCACCGGCUAACUACGUG